CGUUAGCCAGCUUCCCUCCAUGUCUUCUCUCUGUCACCCCCACCCAGAGGACCACACUCCUUUCCGGUUGUCUCAAGAUCAAAGGUGGCUGCCAUGACACCAACCAUCAAGCCGACGAUGAAGGCGCAAGGAAGCGAGGAAACGCACCACACCUAGUCAGGGAGCUGGCAGGAGAGGAAGUUUUUACAAAUGGAUAGUGGACGCCGUGGCCCUCGAAAUGGCCCACAGCCAUCAGUCAUUGACAGCCUCCAUGUCCCAGCGUGGCAUCCUCCUGAGCAGAAGCCUUGCAGAAACUGUCUUUUCACAUACCAGGGAGAAGACUCAGGCUAGAGGGCUUCCUAUGAUACAGGUCAAGGAGAAAAGCCUGCUCAUCUACAAGCCAUUCUUCCUUCUCUCCUUAUCCUGGACACCCUCCAUGGCCUGUUUCCCAGGGUUACAGGAGAUUGGCCUGCAAUCUCAAAUUCGGGCUUAUUAAUUUAGGGAAAAAUAUAAUGGUCAAAAGGACUGGACUUCUCCUGUCCGUGCCCCACAGACACUGAGCUUGGGGUCUAGAGCCCGGGAGCCACAACUACUGAAGCCACAAGAGAAGCCACAGCAACGAAAAGUCCACACACCACACCUAGAGAGGAACCCCUGCUUGCCAAGACUAGGAAACAGCCUGAGCAGCAAAGAAGACCCAGCACAGCCAAAAGUAAGCAAAACAUUAUUUAAACGUCAUGGGGAUGUAAUGUACAGCAUGGUAACAUAGUUUAUAAUAUUAUAUUGUAUUUUUAAACACUGCUAAGAGUAAACAUUAGAAGCUGUCAUCACAAGAAUAAAAAGAUUGGUAACUAUGUAUGGUGUUGAAUG
RNAcentral lists this long non-coding RNA (849 nucleotides) under Bos indicus x Bos taurus (hybrid cattle). RNAcentral's name for it is "lncRNA (ENSBIXG00000007693.1)". Lineage: Eukaryota; Metazoa; Chordata; Mammalia; Artiodactyla; Bovidae. The record is from RNAcentral.